Molecule: long non-coding RNA, 1439 nt
Organism: Rhineura floridana
Lineage: Eukaryota; Metazoa; Chordata; Lepidosauria; Squamata; Rhineuridae
Exons: 3
Source: RefSeq, a predicted model, not a curated record
UUCAAUGCCGUCGGAAGCAGCCCGGAGGCCGCUUAAUCCCGUUGGCAACGCCGCUUGCAAAGCCCAGGAAUAGACUUGACCUCGCGCAAAAGGGAGGCGGCUCCCCGCCAAGAAAAGGGCGACCUCAAGGUCUUCUCUGCUCCGCCUGAUCUCCAGGAGAUCCCGGGGGCCCUUCUCGGCCUCCGCUCUCCCAAAGCCCCGUUCCUAAAGAGCAAGCAGGCGGGCGCGAAAGAGCGCACGACCAGGUACUCCCUAGAGCACUCCCCGUGAGAAGCCUAAAGCCUUUCACUCUAGACGAGGAACCCAGGGGGCGGGGGUCCGGGAACCGCCUUUAGGCGAACCCGGCGACUCACAGACCUACCCAAAAGGUGCCACCUCUUGGAGGAAUUGUCUUACGGCGGGCGGCACACCACCCCCACAUCAAAGGGGAAGGGGAGCCGUGGAUCCCCCCCCGAAAAUGGCUAGUGAAGUCGAAUCUACCAAGAAACCGAGGUCUUAUCAUCCACACCCCGCGCUCUCCGGUCUCCUUGUUCGCGAAUCGCAGGCGUCGAAGAGGGGCGCCACCGACUCGCUCGCGGGCCAGGUCCCCUUCCGACGAGCGCGAGUCGUCCGUUCCCCCGGGAAUGGGGUGCCCCGCCGUCGGGAGAAAGAGAGAGACACGGGAGACGCUUCCCCAACAGGCCCUUUCCCCCCAAAAAGGGGGUGCAAGGUUCCUUCUUGCAAGAAGUCUGAUCUUUUGGGGAAGCCGAGUUGCUGUGCAAGACCUCCCAGUCAACUAUAAUUUUGCAGCCUGAAUUUGCUGGAACUUGAAAUAGAGAUGGUUAAGAACCCAAGAAGAGCCUGGCUGCCAAAUCAGGCCAAAGGAGGCCCAUCUAGUCCAGCAUCCUGUUCGCACGAUGGCAAUGAGCCUGUGAGCAGGGCCCAAGGGCAACAGCAACUCUUCCCCCCGUACGAUUCCCAGCAACUGUUCUUCAGAAGCAGGCUGCCUCUGACAGUGGAGGCCGAACGGAGCCACCGGGGUUAGUGGCCUGUGAUAGCCUUGUCCUCCUCUGUGAAUUUGGCUCACCCCCUUUAAGAGCCAUCCAAGUUGGUGGCCAAAACGACACCUUCUGGGAGUGAAUGCUAUGGUUGCUCCCAGUGUGAAUAGUCACCCCACUUUUGUCACUAGUAAACAGGUUUGGCAAGGUUGGUGUGGUGUGGGUUUCUUUGGAGCAUUUCAAAAACCUGCCCAACCUCUCUCCAUGAGUGUGAGCGUGGGUGUGUACUAGGGACGGAAAGAUCCGUCUCUUUCGGUUCUUUCCGUUUCUCAUUCUUCCAGUGUUAAAUUAAGUUCUCUACAUUUCUACAGCGAUCUGUGGAUUUUUUAAAUAAAAAUCCUCAUGAAAAUUCUCCACCAUUUUAGUGCAAAUUUCUCCAAAUAAACACAUUUGCGUAGGCAG